GAAAUGCGGAUAUGGGACUGAGA
This 23-nucleotide non-coding RNA is filed under the name Cricetulus griseus (Chinese hamster). Lineage: Eukaryota; Metazoa; Chordata; Mammalia; Rodentia; Cricetidae. The record is from RNAcentral.